RNAcentral lists this ribosomal RNA (500 nucleotides) under uncultured bacterium. RNAcentral's name for it is "partial 16S ribosomal RNA". It matches the Rfam family "Bacterial small subunit ribosomal RNA", at positions 30 to 523 of the family's 1533-position model. The record is from RNAcentral.
AUUGAACGCUGGCGGCAGGCUUAACACAUGCAAGUCGAGCGGAGAUGAGGUGCUUGCACCUUAUCUUAGCGGCGGACGGGUGAGUAAUGCUUAGGAAUCUGCCUAUUAGUGGGGGACAACAUUCCGAAAGGAAUGCUAAUACCGCAUACGUCCUACGGGAGAAAGCAGGGGAUCUUCGGACCUUGCGCUAAUAGAUGAGCCUAAGUCGGAUUAGCUAGUUGGUGGGGUAAAGGCCUACCAAGGCGACGAUCUGUAGCGGGUCUGAGAGGAUGAUCCGCCACACUGGGACUGAGACACGGCCCAGACUCCUACGGGAGGCAGCAGUGGGGAAUAUUGGACAAUGGGGGAACCCUGAUCCAGCCAUGCCGCGUGUGUGAAGAAGGCCUUAUGGUUGUAAAGCACUUUAAGCGAGGAGGAGGCUCUUUUGGUUAAUACCCAAGAUGAGUGGACGUUACUCGCAGAAUAAGCACCGGCUAACUCUGUGCCAGCAGCCGCCGUAA